AUACGGAGGAUCCGAGCGUUAUCCGGAUUUAUUGGGUUUAAAGGGUGCGUAGGUGGACAGGUCAGUCAGGGGUGAAAGUUUGCAGCUUAACUGUAAAAUUGCCUUUGAUACUGCUUGUCUUGAGUGCAAAUGAGGUAGGCGGAAUGCGUUGUGUAGCGGUGAAAUGCUUAGAUAUGACACAGAACUCCGAUUGCGAAGGCAGCUUACGUGCAUGCAACUGACACUGAGGCACGAAGGCGUGGGGAUCAAACAGGAUUAGAUACCCUGGUAGUCCACGCAGUAAACGAUGAAUACUAGCUGUUUGCGAUACAAUGUAAGCGGCUGAGCGAAAGCGUUAAGUAAUCCACCUGGGGAGUACGGUCGCAAGGUGGAAACUCAAAGGAAUUGACGUGG
Molecule: ribosomal RNA, 393 nt
Filed under: uncultured bacterium
Lineage: Bacteria
Description: partial 16S ribosomal RNA
Rfam family: Bacterial small subunit ribosomal RNA
Source: RNAcentral